RNAcentral lists this unclassified non-coding RNA (222 nucleotides) under plant metagenome. Its description in RNAcentral is "partial contains small subunit ribosomal RNA, internal transcribed spacer 1, and 5.8S ribosomal RNA". The stretch from base 174 to 222 matches the Rfam family "5.8S ribosomal RNA", at positions 1 to 49 of the family's 154-position model. The record is from RNAcentral.
GUCUCCGUUGGUGAACCAGCGGAGGGAUCAUUAUCGAGUUUAUAACUCCCAAACCCUAUGUGAACUUACCACUUGUUGCUUCGGCGCGCGCUUCGGCGCCGCCGAGGACACUUAAACUCUUUGUUUUUAUAAGCAUUUCUGAGUGGCCGAAGGGCAAAAUACAAAUGAAUCAAAACUUUCAACAACGGAUCUCUUGGUUCUGGCAUCGGUGAAGAACGCAGC